Molecule: ribosomal RNA, 433 nt
Filed under: uncultured bacterium
Lineage: Bacteria
Description: partial 16S ribosomal RNA
Rfam family: Bacterial small subunit ribosomal RNA
Source: RNAcentral
AACGAACGCUGGCGGCAUGCCUAACACAUGCAAGUCGAACGAAGGCUUCGGCCUUAGUGGCGCACGGGUGCGUAACGCGUGGGAAUCUGCCCUUUGGUCCGGAAUAACAGCUGGAAACGGCUGCUAAUACCGGAUGAUGACGAAAGUCCAAAGAUUUAUCGCCAGAGGAUGAGCCCGCGUUGGAUUAGGUAGUUGGUGGGGUAAAGGCCUACCAAGCCGACGAUCCAUAGCUGGUCUGAGAGGAUGAUCAGCCACACUGGGACUGAGACACGGCCCAGACUCCUACGGGAGGCAGCAGUGGGGAAUAUUGGACAAUGGGCGCAAGCCUGAUCCAGCAAUGCCGCGUGAGUGAUGAAGGCCCUAGGGUUGUAAAGCUCUUUUACCCGGGAAGAUAAUGACUGUACCGGGAGAAUAAGCCCCGGCUAACUCCGUG